RNAcentral lists this unclassified non-coding RNA (471 nucleotides) under uncultured Glomus. RNAcentral describes it as "SSU rRNA". It matches the Rfam family "Eukaryotic small subunit ribosomal RNA", at positions 569 to 1042 of the family's 1831-position model. Lineage: Eukaryota; Fungi; Glomeromycota; Glomeromycetes; Glomerales; Glomeraceae. The record is from RNAcentral.
AGCAGCCGCGGUAAUUCCAGCUCCAAUAGCGUAUAUUAAAGUUGUUGCAGUUAAAAAGCUCGUAGUUGAAUUUCGGGAUCAAUAUUUCGGUCAUGCCGUUGGUAUGCACUGUUAUCAUUGAUUUCUCACCUUCUAAAAGAACCGUAAUGCCAUUAAUUUGGUGUUACGGGGAAUUAGGACUGUUACCUUGAAAAAAUUAGAGUGUUUAAAGCAGGCUCACGCUUGAAUACAUUAGCAUGGAAUAAUGAAAUAGGACAUCCGAUUCUAUUUUGUUGGUUUCUAGGAUCGAUGUAAUGAUUAAUAGGGAUAGUUGGGGGCAUUAGUAUUCAAUUGUCAGAGGUGAAAUUCUUGGAUUUAUUGAAGACUAACUACUGCGAAAGCAUUUGCCAAGGAUGUUUUCAUUAAUCAAGAACGAAAGUUAGGGGAUCGAAGACGAUCAGAUACCGUCGUAGUCUUAACCAUAAACUAUGC